Molecule: ribosomal RNA, 253 nt
Filed under: uncultured bacterium
Lineage: Bacteria
Description: partial 16S ribosomal RNA
Rfam family: Bacterial small subunit ribosomal RNA
Source: RNAcentral
UACGAAGGGGGCUAGCGUUGCCCGGAAUCACUGGGCGUAAAGCGCACGUAGGCGGAUUCCUAAGUCGGGGGUGAAAUCCUGGAGCUCAACUCCAGAACUGCCUUCGAUACUGGGAGUCUUGAGUCCGGAAGAGGUGAGUGGAACUGCGAGUGUAGAGGUGAAAUUCGUAGAUAUUCGCAAGAACACCAGUGGCGAAGGCGGCUCACUGGUCCGGUACUGACGCUGAGAUGCGAAAGCGUGGGGAGCAAACAGG